This 466-nucleotide ribosomal RNA is filed under the name uncultured bacterium. RNAcentral describes it as "partial 16S ribosomal RNA". It matches the Rfam family "Bacterial small subunit ribosomal RNA", at positions 28 to 507 of the family's 1533-position model. The record is from RNAcentral.
GAUGAACGCUGGCGGCGUGCUUAACACAUGCAAGUCGAACGAUGAAGCCCAGCUUGCUGGGUGGAUUAGUGGCGCACGGGUGAGUAACACGUGAGUAACCUGCCCUUAACUCUGGGAUAAGCCUGGGAAACUGGGUCUAAUACAGGCUAGGAGCGUACACCGCAUGGUGGGUGUUGGAAAGCUUUAUCGGUAUUGGAUGGACUCGCGGCCUAUCAGUUUGUUGGUGAGGUAAUGGCUAACCAAGUCGACGACGGAUAGCCGGCACGGGAGGGGAACCGGCCACCCGAGGGCUGAGAGACGGAGCAGACGCGUACUGUAGACAGUAGGGGGGAAUAUUGCACAGUAGGGGCAAGCGUAAUGCAGCGGCGUCGCGUUUGUGAUGACGGCCUUCAGGUUGUGAACCUCUUUCAGUAGAUAAGAAGCGAUAGUGACGGUACCUUCAGAAGAAGCACCGGCUAACUACGUG